AUUAUGUUAUUUCCAUGUUUUCAAAGUGCUGUGAAUUGGUAAACAUGUAAAGCAAGAUUUGUCAACCUAGCCAGCCAAGUCACUUACUGCAAAGGGUUACAAAGCAGUGUUUCGUGUCAAACUGUUACUGCUUUAGAUUCACUAAAAGCCUACUACUACUACUCUGGUAAAUCACAUCAGCUUUAUCAGUUGACAGUUAAAGAGAAGCUGGAACUUUUCAUAAUAAAGGCAUUGGAGGCUUUACUUGACUUUCUUUUUAUGGUACCUGCUGUGUUGUAACAGAUUUUAAAAAGAACUUAACUGAUGAUAACGUAGUCUUUUUUGUUGUUAACUGUAAGCAAUUAUUUAAUUACUAAUAACCCGUAUUACGGGUUGCUUUAAUUGCGCCCGGUUAUAUACAUGAUAAACUUUAAAGCAGAAUUUUAUCAUACGAUUAUGGUGGCGAUAUGAGAGAACUACUGUGGCAGAAUAUUACUAUCGUAGAACAAUUUUGCAUCAAAUCAUUGUAUAAUAUUAGUUUUUUGUUGCUUAAAAA
Long non-coding RNA from Hydra vulgaris (swiftwater hydra), 535 nucleotides. RefSeq lists it as uncharacterized. NCBI's taxonomy places the organism in Eukaryota, Metazoa, Cnidaria, Hydrozoa, Anthoathecata, Hydridae. The record is from RefSeq and is a predicted model, not a curated record.